AAGCCCACAUAAUUUAACAGAAAGUUGAGGAAUCAGAGGGAGGAAAAAAGAAAAUGGCUGCUGCUACUAACUGCAUCUCCCUGUCUUCAUUACUGUUCACUUACCCACAUGGUAAAGAAGUGUUCUUGAUAAGAAAGAAAUCAACUUGCAAAUUUAUGGUUUCAAAGAAUUGCUACAAGAUGGGUAGGAUCAAUUGUAAGCUAACAGAUAGUGGAGUUGAAGAAAAUCCCACAAGAAAACACUUCUCUUUGAGCUCAAACAACAGAAUGGACGAUUACAAUAUAGCCAUGAAAAGGAUGAUGAGAAACCCGUAUGAAUAUCAUCAUGAUCUUGGUAUGAACUACACACUGAUAACCAACAAUUUGAUUGUGGGCUCCCAGCCUCAAAAAUCUGAAGAUAUAGAUCAUCUGAAACAUGAAGAGAAUGUAGCAUACAUUCUAAAUCUGCAGCAGGAUUCUGACAUUGAAUAUUGGGGGAUUGACUUGCAGUCUAUAAGAGAAAGAUGUCAAGAACUUGGCAUCCGUCACAUGAGAAGGCCUGCGAAAGAUUUUGAUCCAGAUUCAUUGAGAAGUAUAUUACCUAAGGCUGUUUCUUCAUUGGAAUGGGCCAUUUCCGAGGGGAAAGGCAGAGUUUAUGUGCAUUGCACAGCCGGACUGGGAAGGGCUCCUGCCGUUACAAUUGCUUACAUGUUCUGGUUCUGCGACAUGAAUCUGAACGCUGCAUAUGAUGAACUAACUUCACAACGACCUUGUGGACCUAACAAAAGAUCGAUCCGAGGAGCUACCUAUGAUCUUGCCAAGAAUGAUCCAUGGAAAGAACCAUUCGAGAAUCUUCCAGAACAUGCUUUUGAAGAUAUAGCAGAUUGGGAGAGGAGCUUGAUUCAGGAUCGUGUUCGUGCCCUCCGGGGAACUUGAAACCUUCAGUCUAGCAACUUUUCAACCCUGCUUGUAGACCAUUUGAACCCUCUCAAGACUUUUGUAUGAGCUUCAAUAUACCACAGCCAGCAAAAUCCAUUGACGAAAUUACAAUGAAAAGCAAUAAAAUCAAGCCUGCAGGUUUACUUAUACCAGCUUCUCUAAGAUUGUUGAUGGAGAUCACAAGCUACAAACAUGAGAAGGCAGUUAAUAAGAAGCAACAAUGUAGAAUGCAAGGCCUGUGCAAUGGGAACAGCUUGGGAAGCAAUAUCAUGGUGUUCCACUCAAAGUCAGGAACCUAUUAUAAAAGAAAUCUUUCUUAUUACAGAAAAUGUUGUUUACCUUCUAGUUUUGGCCGGUUAGCACCGAGAACGAGCUUUCCACUGUUACAUUACGUUAGAAUUUAUAUACCAUCGAGAUAACAUUUAGUUCAAUAACCAAAUAUAUAUUGUAGAUGUUACAGAACAGAAAAUAAAAUAAAAAAUUCAGUUUCUCUAGUUA
RNA transcript from Ricinus communis (castor bean), 1415 nucleotides. It is a transcript of the gene named phosphoglucan phosphatase LSF2, chloroplastic, with no coding region annotated. Lineage: Eukaryota; Viridiplantae; Streptophyta; Magnoliopsida; Malpighiales; Euphorbiaceae. The transcript has 6 exons. The record is from RefSeq and is a predicted model, not a curated record.